This is a long non-coding RNA of Micropterus dolomieu (smallmouth bass), 1781 nucleotides long. RefSeq lists it as uncharacterized. Lineage: Eukaryota; Metazoa; Chordata; Actinopteri; Centrarchiformes; Centrarchidae. The transcript is spliced from 2 exons. The record is from RefSeq and is a predicted model, not a curated record.
UCUGUUGCCACAUGAACCCUCUGUGACCUCUAGCAGUCUACUGCCUGCCUGUUAUGUAGUUUGGCUGAUUCCAAGGUUCCCUGUCUGGAGUGGCGUGAUGUAUUGUUCCUUACAGAGCACCUUGUGUUAAGGUACGAGAAGCUUGAGGAGCAACAAGUAGAGUUUGAUACCUGAGGUAAUUUACUUUUAUAAAUCUGUUGUUUUUAAUUGUAGGUGGUCAGCUGCUGUUUUGCUUUGUAAAAUUAGGAUUUUAACUAUUGCUGCUGGUACACUCUGGCUGUAGUGCCUCCAACCGGCACUCCCCUAGUUGACUAUGCUUGUGUCUUAGAUAUAACCAACUGGUCCACUGUGUUUUAUUUAACUUGUUUUGUUUUCAGUGGUGCUAGUGGUCUGGUUUUGGUAGAGGCUAGGUACGCUAGUAUGGGUUCCUUCACGGAUUGUAGUGUUAACGCCACUGGGGCACGAUUUGGUAGUGACGGGAUUUGCAGUGAGCAUAUGCGGUGGGUAAGUUGGUGCACCCCUGGAGCACACCCUUAGACUGCCUCCCCACAGCUGGCCCUGGCCCACUCUGCAUUGUUUUGUCUUAAUAAUCAGUAAUAGCUGGGAGUGUUAAAAAUAAAAUGACUUGUUUGCCAGAUUUGUAACCUCUCAUAUUCCAUUGUAACUUGAUGAUUUGUGGCAGUCAUCCUCUUUUCUGGCACUUCUAGUUACCAAUUAUCAAUAAGUUAUUCUUUUGGAGCCACUUCUGUCUUACUUGUGUAGCCUUUAUAUAAAGGCUUAGUCAAAGAAGAGAGCAUUUCCUGGGGUGGAAGUCCCCAGGUGGCGUUGUCGGUUGGUUAGAUUCUGGUUCCCCUCUUGGCGCUGCCACACGAGGAUUAACAAAAUAAUCAAAGUGGCAGCUAUAACUAGCCAGUUCUCUAAAUCACUCACAAUCAACAGGUCUAUUCCCGCUCCGGUCAACUCCCAACUUUUGAGCAUUGCACAGGAAAACCUACCAUGUAGAAGUCCUACAUCUUUUCCUCUUCCCAGGUCAAUGGCACUUAACUAACCUCGCUUACUCUACACUAUAUUAUAUACAUUAUAUUACCAGAUGAACUCAACACCUUUGACGCUCACUUUGAUCUCCUCAACAAGGAGGCUGCUGUAAAGUCUACUCCACCUCCAGGAUCCACAGCAGAUGUGAGGAGAGUCCUGCUGAGAGUGAAUAUGAGUAAAUCAGCUGGGCCUGAUAACAUCCCUGGCCGUGCACUAAAAACCUGAGCCAAUCAGCUAGUUGAUGUUACUGACGUUUUCAACAUCUCACUGUCUCAGGAGAGGGUUCCCACCUGCUUCAAGACCAUCGUUCCUGUACCUAAAGUCUACAGUGUCUAGUCUGAAUGACCGCCCCCCUGUGGCUCUCACCCUUCAGCACAUAAAGAACAACAGCCCAGCCAGCCUGGACCCUCACCAGUUUGCUUUCAGCACCAACAGAUCCACAGAGGACGCCGUCUCCACUGCCCUCCACUCAGCCCUCACACACCUUGAGAAACACCUACAUCAGAAAGCUGUUUGUGGAUUUCAGCUCAGCGUUGAACACAAUCUCCCCAUGAAGCUGAUCAGUAAACUCCACACAGUUUGAGAUGCACCUGAAUAUAUUUCUGAUAGUAUAUUGAUUUACUCACCUUGUGUUUUUUCAUCACAUCUGUAUUGUCCUUUUGUCCGUAAUUAUGUUUCAUUGUGUCAGUUGUUCGUUCAUUCUGUGUUUUCUUUGUCAAAUAAAUCCUCAAGUGUUGCAUGCUUUA